UCCUGCGGCCCCUCCAGGCUGCGUUUCCUCCCAAGGACUUCGGGCCGCCCCUUUCAACAGGGCGGCCUUUUUUCUGCGCGCA
RNAcentral lists this small RNA (82 nucleotides) under Methylobacterium brachythecii. RNAcentral describes it as "suhB". It matches the Rfam family "Makes More Granules Regulator RNA (mmgR)". From Rfam's summary of the family: SuhB later renamed mmgR (makes more granules regulator) was a putative non-coding RNA found multiple times in the Agrobacterium tumefaciens genome and related alpha-proteobacteria. Other non-coding RNAs uncovered in the same analysis include: speF, ybhL, metA, and serC. Lineage: Bacteria; Pseudomonadati; Pseudomonadota; Alphaproteobacteria; Hyphomicrobiales; Methylobacteriaceae. The record is from RNAcentral.